AACGAACGCUGGCGGCAUGCCUAACACAUGCAAGUCGAACGAUUGCCUUCGGGUGAUAGUGGCGCACGGGUGCGUAACGCGUGGGAAUCUGCCCUUAGGUUCGGAAUAACAGCUGGAAACGGCUGCUAAUACCGGAUGAUAUCGCGAGAUCAAAGAUUUAUCGCCUGAGGAUGAGCCCGCGUUGGAUUAGGUAGUUGGUGGGGUAAAGGCCUACCAAGCCGACGAUCCAUAGCUGGUCUGAGAGGAUGAUCAGCCACUGGGACUGAGACACGGCCCAGACUCCUACGGGAGGCAGCAGUGGGGAAUAUUGGACAAUGGGCGCAAGCCUGAUCCAGCAAUGCCGCGUGAGUGAUGAAGUCCCUAGGGUUGUAAAGCUCUUUUACCCGGGAAGAUAAUGACUGUACCGGGAGAAUAAGCCCCGGCUAACUCCGUG
RNAcentral lists this ribosomal RNA (433 nucleotides) under uncultured bacterium. RNAcentral's name for it is "partial 16S ribosomal RNA". It matches the Rfam family "Bacterial small subunit ribosomal RNA", at positions 29 to 507 of the family's 1533-position model. The record is from RNAcentral.